This 471-nucleotide ribosomal RNA is filed under the name uncultured bacterium. RNAcentral describes it as "partial 16S ribosomal RNA". It matches the Rfam family "Bacterial small subunit ribosomal RNA", at positions 28 to 507 of the family's 1533-position model. The record is from RNAcentral.
GACGAACGCUGGCGGCGUGCUUAACACAUGCAAGUCGAACGGAAAGGCCCUGCUUGCAGGGUGCUCGAGUGGCGAACGGGUGAGUAACACGUGGGUGAUCUGCCCCUUACUUUGGGAUAAGCCUGGGAAACUGGGUCUAAUACUGGAUAGGACCAUGCUGUAGGUGGUGUGGUGGAAAGAUUUUUUCGGUAAGGGAUGAGCUCGCGGCCUAUCAGCUUGUUGGUGGGGUAAUGGCCUACCAAGGCGUCGACGGGUAGCCGGCCUGAGAGGGUGGACGGCCACAUUGGGACUGAGAUACGGCCCAGACUCCUACGGGAGGCAGCAGUGGGGAAUAUUGCACAAUGGGCGCAAGCCUGAUGCAGCGACGCCGCGUGGGGGAUGACGGCCUUCGGGUUUUAAACUCCUUUCAGCCAUGACGAAGCCUCUUUUGGGGUGACGGUAGUGGUAGAAGAAGCACCGGCUAACUACGUG